This is a small nucleolar RNA of Suncus etruscus (white-toothed pygmy shrew), 134 nucleotides long. RefSeq annotates it as small nucleolar RNA SNORA51. The record is from RefSeq and is a predicted model, not a curated record. The transcript has a single exon. NCBI's taxonomy places the organism in Eukaryota, Metazoa, Chordata, Mammalia, Eulipotyphla, Soricidae.
AGCUACCUAACAAUUUCAUACAACAGAAAAUGUUGGAAAAGAGCCUUUCUAAAAGAGGAGGUACAGUAAAUGCACCCCAUAUACACCUCACCUAGGCCCUUUGCCUGGUCUGUAUUGUGAAUUGGGGGACAAAA